RNAcentral lists this long non-coding RNA (361 nucleotides) under Hordeum vulgare. Its description in RNAcentral is "long non-coding RNA (HVUL_LNC015753)". The record is from RNAcentral. Lineage: Eukaryota; Viridiplantae; Streptophyta; Magnoliopsida; Poales; Poaceae.
UUUAAAUGAGGCCGGAAAUGACAUAUAGCACCUCCGAGACGACCUCUCAUGUUAAUUUACAGUUUUGUCCAGAUCUGAACUAACACAUUUAAUUAGUUGUUAAACAACAAAACAAAUAGGUUCACGUGAUUCUACGCGUUAUUUCAAGCAAUCUACACAUAGAGAACAUCUCCAACGGAGCUACGGAUCAAAAGAUACAAGCACCGCAAGAUAUGAUGGCAUGAAUGCAAUAUGUGUGCAACGACGUUCACGAGCACUUCAAAACAUACAACCAGCAAGAGAAAAUGAAACUACACGAGAUUCUAAGCAAGUUUCAUGUAGGACACGAUCAAAUCGGAGCUACGGUUCAACAACUAGGAGC